GACGAACGCUGACGGCGUGCUUAACACAUGCAAGUCGAACGAUGAAGAAGAGAAACGCGAACUUCGGUUCAAAUUUCACUUCGGAUUAGUGGCAGACGGGUGAGUAACGCGUGAGCAACCUACCUCUUACAAAGGGAUAGCCUCGGGAAACCGUGAUUAAUACCAUAUGACACAUUCAUAAGGCAUCUUAAGAAUGUUAAAGCUACGGCGGUAAGAGAUGGGCUCGCGUCCCAUUAGCUAGUUGGUGAGGUAACGGCCCACCAAGGCGACGAUGGGUAACCGGCCUGAGAGGGUGAACGGUCACAUUGGAACUGGGCCACGGUCCAAACUCCUACGGGAGGCAGCAGUGGGGAAUAUUGCACAAUGGAGGGAACUCUGAUGCAGCGACGCCGCGUGAGCGAUGAAGGAAUUCGUGUCGUAAAGCUCUGUUCUAUGGGAAGAAAAGGACUGUACCAUAGGAGAAAGCCCCGGCUAAAUACGUG
RNAcentral lists this ribosomal RNA (482 nucleotides) under uncultured bacterium. RNAcentral describes it as "partial 16S ribosomal RNA". It matches the Rfam family "Bacterial small subunit ribosomal RNA", at positions 28 to 507 of the family's 1533-position model. The record is from RNAcentral.